UGGGGGAUAUUGCACAAUGGGCGCAAGCCUGAUGCAGCGACGCCGCGUGGGGGAUGAAGGCCUUCGGGUUGUAAACUUCUUUUGCUAUGAACAAGGCGCACUUUGGGGUGUGUUGAGUGUAGGGGUUGAUUAGCGCCGGCUAACUACGUGACAGCAGCCGCGGUAAUACGUAGGGCGCGAGCGUUGUCCGGAAUUAUUGGGCGUAAAGGGCUUGUAGGUGGCUGUUUGCGUCUGUCGUGAAAGCUCAUGGCUUAACUGUGGGUUUGCGGUGGGUACGGGCUGGCUUGAGUGCAGUAGGGGAGGCUGGAAUUCCUGGUGUAGCGGUGGAAUGCGCAGAUAUCAGGAGGAAUACCGGUGGCGAAGGCGGGUCUCUGGGCUGUUACUGACACUGAGGAGCGAAAGCAUGGGGAGCGAACAGG
This 419-nucleotide ribosomal RNA is filed under the name bacterium. RNAcentral describes it as "partial 16S ribosomal RNA". It matches the Rfam family "Bacterial small subunit ribosomal RNA", at positions 355 to 776 of the family's 1533-position model. The record is from RNAcentral.